Phoenix dactylifera (date palm) is the source of this 2801-nucleotide non-coding RNA. NCBI's taxonomy places the organism in Eukaryota, Viridiplantae, Streptophyta, Magnoliopsida, Arecales, Arecaceae. The record is from RefSeq and is a predicted model, not a curated record.
AAAAAUACGUGUUUAAAGUAUCGUCCCCAAACUCCCACCGCAGAAACACGAGACCAUCAAAAGAUUGGGUUUUGGCUUGCUGUUUCCUUACGAUUCUGGAAUGGAGAGAUCGAUAAAUUCGGCCGCUUGACGGAGGGUUCAAGCCACCGAGGUCUUGUCGCCAGUUAAGUUUGAGAUUCGUUGCUGGAGAGCCGGGCAAACCGGCGGUAUCCAGCAACUAUGCAUGGAGCUCUCCUUAUUGCGUUCAGAGAGGCUGCUUACAGAGUGAGGGCGGCUUGGAGGAGGUCCAUGGUGCCAGUGAUGUAGAGAUCAGAUGCUAAAGAGGAAGUUUUAUAUUUGGAUGACCUGUUCUGAACUCCUGAUCUCUGUUUUGGGAGCUCUUCGAUUCUUUAUGGCCCAUUUUCUUGGGGCCCUGACUCUACUUCAUCGGUGCGCGUCGGGAUUGGUGAGAGAAAGUGAGGUUCUGGUUCUCUUUUCCUCUAUGGAUUGAUUUCAAGGAGGCAUGUGUUGGAAUUGUCUGAGAUCGAUGAUGAUUAGAAGAGAUUGAGUGCGCUGUAUCCUAGCUCUGGCACCAAAUUAGAUGGGAGGAGUGGUUUGAGCAGUCUUGGAGAUAGUCUUAUAGCAUUUAUAAGAGGUUUCAGAAGCGGUAAUUCGAAGAUAGGAAUUGUAAAUGGGAUGCUUCAUGCCUAGAGAUUUCUUCUAUCAAGCCAGUGCAUUCACAUCCUACAGUUAAUCUGGACUUGGCAGGAAAAAGUUGUCAGUUCAUGUCAUUUCUCAUGGAGGCAUAAGAGAAGAUCAUAAUUUGUAUUCAGCAAAAGAACAUGGAGACACCAUUUGGAAGGAUCACCAAGAUGCUGCUAUCAGUUCUUUCUUUCUUUGAAUCAGAUCAUAGUUUGCCUCCAUCAACACAGGAUUUGGAAAGGAGUGAAGGACAAGGAAACAUGAGAGGUAUGAGAGCCUUAAUGACUCACAAAAUACAAAACACUAAUUUAACCCAAUGCAUGUUGUUCAGUUGUGAGGGUUGUUGAGGAAAAUAUGAGAACCUCUUUCAUUUGUCCUGUAAUGUCGUGCAUUAUGUUAUGCAGCCUUUGAGCACAAAUGUCAUAAUAUAAUGGUGAGGUAUCACGAGACAGAAUCUAGAUAGUUUUGCUUAUUUAGAAUCUAGGAUCUGGCUGCAGAAUGUAGUUAUGGAGGCUAGAAUCUAAAUAUUGGGUCAAAGUGCUGGAUGGUUGCAUGUACAACCAAGUGGCUGUGUAGAUGGGUGUUGUUUGGAUGAAAUACUAAUGGUUGUGAUAUUAGAAAUAGGAGAUGGGUUUGUAUAUGAAGCCUCUGCACAGUCUUUAACUGCUUGGUAAAUUUUAACUAGUUUUGUAGAUAAAGAAUUUUAUAUGAUAGAGAGGUGCGUGCACCUAUGGUGUGGAUAACAGCAGGAAGAUGUUAAGAGCACCAUUCGUGGCAGCAAAAUUGUCCACAGAGAGAGGGAGCACUGCUUGCAAUAGCAUAUCUGUCCCUAGACCGGCUCAUUUAUGAUAAUCGUAGAGUAAAUUGUCAAAAUUGGUUAUAAGCAGACCCCAAAUGAAUGAGACAUGGGCUCGAUUUUGCCUGUGAUUGUAACAGAUGAGCUUAAUGUGUUUUACUACUUUAUUUACUGGGUAUAUUUCUUACAAGUUUUCAUGGAAUCUCGAUAUGCUUUGCAUAUCCAAAUGCACGAAAAACUGUAUAGUGACCUUACUAGAGUAUCUUCAAACCAAAUAGCAAGGGAAAGACUGUAGCUCUACUCUAGGCUGAGGUAUGCUUGUAUUAUGUUACCAUUUAGUAAUUGAGCCUUGAAUACUCUAGGAUUGGGUGAACAGAAAUCGAAAUCACAAGAGACUUUCUUGAGGCUAGCAUUCAAUCUCUGUGGGCAGCAAAUUUGCUGCACUCUAUCUGCUUUUGUUAGUUUUCUGUCGCAUGAAAAUAACUUGAUCAGAUGUUCUUCUUCUUUUUUUGGUAAAAAUUAUCUUGCUCUGAUGAGCACGAAAAAACAAUGAGCUUGUAGUUGUGGUACAGAAUAGGCCACUCCUAGAAUUGAAUUUUAUGUCUCAAUCUAUUUUCCUUCAGAUUUUGGAACUUUCAGUUUCAGAUUCUUGAUGUUCAAAUUUUAGCAGCAUCAGCAUUGCAUAGGAUCAAGGUCAGCAACCUCAUAUUUUACAUCAGUGACAUCCGUAUGAACUAACAAUUGAAUUUUGCUUCUGUUAUAUAUAGUCAGCAUCUGGAAGUACCUGUGAUCUAUGGAACUGAUGAACCAGAAUAUCUUCAGGGGGUGCUGUAACAAAAAUACAAUGACAUGGAUAGGGUAAGGCAUGGCAUUUCAAAUUAGUAACCUGUAAAUAGCUUGGAGCAGAGGAAGUUGAAUUCACAUUUAGUUUUCGAUACUUGUGUUGAUGUUUACUUGUGAGCGAACUGAUUGGUCUUUUGACCCACGAAAACUUAGUAUUAACUCUAAUAUUGGAAUUAUGGUGCAACAUGAUUGCAAAUUUUGUGGAAGUUAUAAGAAUGUCACAGCUUACAACUUACUGCUUCAUUUGACCUUGGUUGUAACUGCAAGUGAUGUGAAGUUGCUCUAGCAUACUAUUAGAGGAUGGAUUCCUAUUGGCUGAUGAGAUUUCUGAACAGUUGGACCAACCUCAGGACCAUAUUUUUAUUUACUAUAAGAAGUCUGAGUGUUGACAGACAAAAGCCCAACUGUAACAAGCUGUUGCAACAAACAAAUUCACUGAACUUGUAUAUAUUGGAUCCUGAGUCUUGUCUAGUUUCUCUCA